UAGCUAGUUGGUGAGGUAAAGGCUUACCAAGGCGACGAUCUGUAGCGGGUCUGAGAGGAUGAUCCGCCACACUGGAACUGAGACACGGUCCAGACUCCUACGGGAGGCAGCAGUGGGGAAUUUUGGACAAUGGGGGCAACCCUGAUCCAGCCAUGCCGCGUGAGUGAAGAAGGCCUUCGGGUUGUAAAGCUCUUUCGGCCGGGAAGAAAUCGCAUGGGCCAAUACCCUGUGUGGAUGACGGUACCGGAAUAAGAAGCACCGGCUAACUACGUGCCAGCAGCCGCGGUAAUACGUAGGGUGCGAGCGUUAAUCGGAAUUACUGGGCGUAAAGCGUGCGCAGGCGGUUUUGUAAGACAGGCGUGAAAUCCCCGGGCUUAACCUGGGAACUGCGUUUGUGACUGCAAGGCUAGAGUACGGCAGAGGGGGGUGGAAUUCCACGUGUAGCAGUGAAAUGCGUAGAGAUGUGGAGGAACACCAAUGGCGAAGGCAGCCCCCUGGGUCGAUACUGACGCUCAUGCACGAAAGCGUGCGUAGCAAACAGGAUUAGAUACCCUGGUAGUCCACGCCCUAAACUAUGUCAACUAGGUGUUGGGUGGGUAAAACCAUUUAGUACCGUAGCUAACGCGUGAAGUUGACCGCCUGGGGAGUACGGCCGCAAGGUUAAAACUCAAAGGAAUUGACGGGGACCCGCACAAGCGGUGGAUGAUGUGGAUUAAUUCGAUGCAACGCGAAAAACCUUACCUACCCUUGACAUGCCAGGAACUUGCCAGAGAUGGCUUGGUGCCCGAAAGGGAGCCUGGACACAGGUGCUGCAUGGCUGUCGUCAGCUCGUGUCGUGAGAUGUUGGGUUAAGUCCCGCAACGAGCGCAACCCUUGUCGUUAAUUGCCAUCAUUUAGUUGGGCACUUUAACGAGACUGCCGGUGACAAACCGGAGGAAGGUGGGGAUGACGUCAAGUCCUCAUGGCCCUUAUGGGUAGGGCUUCACACGUCAUACAAUGGUCGGUACAAAGGGUUGCCAAGCCGCGAGGCGGAGCCAAUCCCAGAAAGCCGAUCGUAGUCCGGAUUGCAGGCUGCAACUCGCCUGCAUGAAGUCGGAAUCGCUAGUAAUCGUGGAUCAGCAUGUCACGGUGAAUACGUUCCCGGGUCUUGUACACACCGCCCGUCACACCAUGGGAGCGGGUUCCGCCAGAAGUAGGUAGCCUAACCGCAAGGGGGCGCUUACCACGGCGGGGUUCGUGACUGGGGUGAAGUCGUAACAAGGUAGCCGUAGGGGAACCUGCGGCUG
This 1286-nucleotide ribosomal RNA is filed under the name metagenome. RNAcentral describes it as "bacterial SSU rRNA". It matches the Rfam family "Bacterial small subunit ribosomal RNA", at positions 242 to 1520 of the family's 1533-position model. The record is from RNAcentral.